Molecule: ribosomal RNA, 253 nt
Filed under: uncultured bacterium
Lineage: Bacteria
Description: partial 16S ribosomal RNA
Rfam family: Bacterial small subunit ribosomal RNA
Source: RNAcentral
UACGUAGGGGGCUAGCGUUGUCCGGAAUCAUUGGGCGUAAAGCGCGUGUAGGCGGUUCGGUAAGUCCGCUGUGAAAGUCGGGGGCUCAACCCUCGAAUGCCGGUGGAUACUGUCGGGCUCGAGUACGGAAGAGGCGAGUGGAAUUCCUGGUGUAGCGGUGAAAUGCGCAGAUAUCAGGAGGAACACCGAUUGCGAAGGCAGCUCGCUGGGACGUUACUGACGCUGAGACGCGAAAGCGUGGGGAGCAAACAGG